CCUGCCCCUAGAGGCACUGCCAAGUGCAGCUGCUGUGUUACAUGUGUGCCAGUAGGUGGCAGAGAUGGGAGAGGCUAUGUUUAUGCUCAGUGUUCUGACCUAUGGACAUUUGAAUGAUAUUCCUGGAAAA
Apodemus sylvaticus (European woodmouse) is the source of this 130-nucleotide small nucleolar RNA. RefSeq annotates it as small nucleolar RNA SNORA17. The transcript has a single exon. NCBI's taxonomy places the organism in Eukaryota, Metazoa, Chordata, Mammalia, Rodentia, Muridae. The record is from RefSeq and is a predicted model, not a curated record.